RNAcentral lists this long non-coding RNA (5039 nucleotides) under Canis lupus familiaris (dog). Its description in RNAcentral is "lncRNA (ENSCAFG00845021861.1)". The record is from RNAcentral. Lineage: Eukaryota; Metazoa; Chordata; Mammalia; Carnivora; Canidae.
GCAUUGAAUUUAGAAAAAAGGCAGAGGGAUAACAUUGGAUAUGAAGGAAAUGGUACUUUAAAUGCCCAUAUGUAAUUGUGGUCUUAAUUAAAGACCAGUUCAGAAGAACUUUAGGUAUAAAACCAGUUUCUUUCAUUUUUACUUAGAAGUUUCCUAUUUUCAAGAUGAAGGAGAUUUUUUUUCUCAGUUAAGUUGCCAUUGGGAAAUUUGCUCUAGUAACAGUGAGAGGACCCAACUUAUGUUUUUAAAUAUUGUAAUUAGGUUAAUUUCCUUGUGGUCAUAGCAAAGCAGUGAUCAAAUCUGGAACACACCCGAACUGGAGAGGAUAAAUCCAUGACAAUUGCAUCCCCAAGGCACUGCAGGAUAUUGUGCUAGGCAAUAUCCAGAAGAUAAGGCAAAUUCAGUGAAGGAGAAAGAAACAAUGUCAGCAGAGAGGUCGGUGAAGCCAACUUGGCUAAUCCUCAAUGCCAGGAUCUGCUCAAGAGGGCAAGACUUCUUGACAAGUUGUGCUCUUUGGGGACUUCACUGCAUGGUCCUAUUGUGCACCUAAAAUAUGGUUUGCAAUAGAAAACCCAGCCUUUGAUCAUUCCACCAAAUUUAUUCAUAUUUCAAGAUGUAACAUCAAUGUGAUCAGUCUUCUUGUCCAUCUUGGUCAAGUCUGGUAUUGAAGUAGCAGUGGAGCACACAUUGCUGCUAUUUUUCUUAAAUGCAAGAAAUAACAAAUAUAAUCCAACCUAGAUAAUUUUUUCUUUGUAUUUCACUUUCUUCUUUGACUCAAUUUUUAUUUCUCCCUUUCUUUCUUGCUAGACAUUACUAAUUCUAUGCAGUAACUACUUAGUUUAAAAACAUGACUCUGCAAAAAUAUUGCAAUAGUAGGAGGGAGAUGACUACGCACUAAAGGUCAUUUUUUGUGUGGAGUAAAUAGAACAAGUAACAGUCAUGUGCAUAACAUUUAUUACUUAUGAAUUUAUAAACAUUUAUCACAAAAUCACCAGUACUACUGAGCUAAAGGGCACUUUAGCUAUUUUUUUUCCUCUUCUACAGUAUUUAAGCUUUUCUAACAUAUGUGACCUUAUUACUUAUAGAAAUUUCUUCCUUCUUUUCCAGACUUUAAUUCUAUAAAGUUGAUUGUGGUUUAAUUGAUCACUCAAUCCUCAAUAGAUUUGAUGGUGCCUGGCAAAUAAUAGGCAUUCAAUGAAUAUUUGUUAAUCAAAUCUUCUCUAUGUAAGGUAAAGGAACUAAAACCCUGAAAGAUUGAUGUGAUUUGCAGUGGCUUACACAGCUACCCCGCAGGAAAACCUACCUGAAGCCCUGGAUCUUCCAGUAAAAAUCUUAUGUUAUUAACUAUUUUGGAUUUGAAUCUUGCCUUGCUUCCUUGACUUGCCUUGAGGAUUCAAACCAUGUUUUGAACUUCUAGAACACUGUCUCUGUUCCUCCAUGUGCUCAAUUCCAGUACAAGUGCAUGGCUCAGAAAUUGUUCCAAAGAAGGUCUUUUUAAAAAACAUAUGCUGGGGUGCCUGGGUGCCUCCGUUGGUCAAGCGUCCGACUCUUGAUUUCAGCUCAGGUCACAAUCUUAGGGUUGUUAAGAUGGAGCCCUGUGUUGGGCUCCACAAUGGGCAUGGAGCCUGGUUAAGAUUUGCUCUCUCUCAGGGAGGCAAACCAUAAGAGUCUUAACUAUUGGAAACAAACUGAGGGUCGCUGGAGAGGGGGAGGUAGGUGGGGAGAUGGGGUAACUGGGUGAUGGGCAUUAAGGAGCCCAGCACUUGAUGGAAUGAGUACUGGGUGUUGUAUGCAACUGAUGAAUAACUAAAUUCUACCUCUGAAACUAAAAAAAAAAAAAGUUUAAAAUUACCAUCUGGAUACCUGGCUUCAGGGGCAAUGUACUAUAAUCAGUAGGGGACUUGUUUUCCAUUUUAUCUUUUAAUGUCGUAUAGCACAUUUAUGUGACUGUGUUUUGAUUAAAUCAUAUUCCCAUAAGUCACACACAAAAAAGAUUCUCUCUCCCUUUCCCUCUGCCCCUUCCCUCAACCCCCCACUCUAUAAAACAAAAAAACAAAAACACAUAUGGACUAUUUUAUUCUAAAAAUUGUGUUGUUAAAAAAUGCUUGAUGAAAAAAAUGUUUUAUGGUCAAACCCAGAUGCUAUAUUGUAAAUAGUUGACCCACCAUUUUUCCUUGCCCCAAAUCACCCAGAUUCCUAUAAAUCUCAGGGAAAUAUUGAGAAUACAGGGUAAAAAUUUUUGUCUAUUGUUUGGUAGUUCUCCCAAAAGAAAAGUUAUGCUUUUUACUGCCCAGUUAGAUACUUUGCAGCUCUUAGAAAUUCGAGAAGGUAAAACCUAUGUAGUAAAGGUAUCAUGCAACAAUAUGUAUCACUCCCCACCUCCUCCAGAGGGUGAAAAGUACAAAGGUAAACCACAUGAACCUAAGGAACAAAGUGAACCACACAGAUCUGUUGGAUUUGAUAUGAUCAAGAGGAAAACCAUCUAUUUCCUUCAUUGUGCAUAACACUUCUGAGAAUAGCAUCACUCUAAAAUGCUAAUCCUUACUCAGUGCUCUCAGGCCUUGCCCUAAUCCCCUAUAGGGGCAAUUCUCUCAGACAGCGGGCACUAGUUCAGUCUCCAGUAGGCAAAGGCAUAAAACUGAUAAACAUAAAUCCCUCCACCCUUAGCCAGGGAAACAAUAAAUAAAUUCAACGGAUACGUAAUGAGCAGGCUGCACAGCCAGUGUUCUGAGCUCCCCAAGCAGGGAUUUAUUUUUUUUAAUAUUUUAUUUAUUUAUUUGAGAAAGAGAGAGAAAGAGUAUACAAGCAAGGGGGAGAGGCAGAGGGAGAAGCAGGCUCCCCGCUGAGCAGAGAACCUGAUGCGGGGCUCGAUCUCAGGACCCUAGGAUCAUGACCUGAGCCAAAGACAGAUACUUAACCGAGGGAGCCACCCAGACACCCCACAAGCAGGGAUUUAAGUCCAAAUAUGCACCAGUGUGUUGCCAGUAGACUAAAAGCAUACAAAAGAGAGAAUAAAGAUAAAAGCAUGCAGAUCCUCCAAAAUUCAACCAGAGGAUUAGUACCCAGUAAUCAUAUCAAUCUGUUCCAGUCUAAUACUAACACGAAUACUUUCUGCCCUUAGAAGUCCCCUUAGGUCCAGCCAACAACUGUCUGCACUUGUUUAAAAAGGAAAGCCUUAACACAGGGGCUGGGGCUGGGGAGACAAUAUAGAAAGAAAAGACAAACAUUCUUAUGGCUAGUGCUUCAUGUUUUGUUUUGGAGGAUUUGGCUGUAAAAUUUACUUCUUGCUUCUGAGAAUUGUUUUUCAGCCAUAAGGCUUUCAAAAAUCUGGUAUACCUAAUUCAAAGCCUUUAAAAUUUAUGUUAUAAAAUUUAUUGUGGUGCCCUCAUAAAUCAGCACUUAGUAGUAACAAAUUAUCAGAACGUGCCAUAUAUUAAAAAGAUAAGUCAGAAUUAAAUAGUAAAGAGAGAAGGUGUUUUCAAGUCCGACAGCGAAAGCACUAACUAAUGGGAACAUUUGCAAACACGACAAUGAUUUACAGCAGGGCUCUUGGCUACAGUGCAUAAAUCUAGCAGAAGAUUUUUGCAUCUAUCAACUGGGACUUUUGGUCCAUUGUUUAUAAAUCAAGAAGUUAAUGAAGAGUCAGGGAUCUGUAAAUCCAGACACUAAAUUAGAGAUUUGUAGCUUUUGAUUUAUAAACAAGUUACCUCAAAAAUUACAUAUAUAAAUAAGCAGAAAAAGAAAUUGCAUUUAAAAUCAGGUGGAGGUUAGCACAUAUAAAUCAUAGUUGUAAAUUAAAAGAUUACCAAUAUCAAUGCAACCAAUUCAACAACUCUGCAUUUCAUAAAAUUGUAACAGGGAUAUGUAGAACAGAAUGCCAACACUCAGCAACUUCAGUGAAAUAAUUAGCUCAUUCUUAUUCCUUUAAUUUUCAUAGGUUACUUUUUCAAAAAUAGGGUAUUGACAGUGCAAUAUUUUUUUGCUCUACCAUAAAAGAACCUCCAAAAUGGCCAAUCAUAAGCCAAAAAGACACUGUCUAGUUAUAUAUAUGAACUUCAAAGAUCUUUCUUUUCCCUUCAGAUACACACACACACACACACACACACACACACACAAAACAUACCAGGUAAGGACAAUUCUCUCACAUUUUGCUGUUUGCUAACUUUAUCUCACAGUGGAAUACUAGAUAAACACAUGCCAUUUUGGGAGCAGGUUGCUCAAGCCCCACAUGGUUGCUUUACAGAAGCCACAGGCUAUGACACUGAAGUACAUGAGCUUGAGGACCUCAUAGACCUCCUGUUUGUUCAUCCCCAAAUAUCUCCUGAAGGGAGAGGGAAGCUCUCAUCACAAAAGAAUGCAAGCAAAGCAGAAUCAAGGAACAUUAAAGAGCAUGGGAUUAAGGAACCCAGACAGGUAACUGACUCCAAGAUGAAUGUGAACAGGGCGCGUUUGCCUUCCCCUGGCUCUGUUUCAGGGAGACUCCAUUGUUCGAUUCUCUCCCUAUGAGUUACAGCAGCAGGGAAGAGCUGGGCCCAAUGGAGUUUCAGGGAGACUCAUCCUGUCAAAGCUGCUCUCUGCCCUGUAUCUCUACAUCCCACUCAACCCUUAACAGGGAAGUGCCUUGUUCUCUUGGCUACACUGAGGCUAUGGUAAAAUAUCCUGCCUUCCCAUUCUGACUGCUUUCUAUCUUCUUCUUUCCAUAUCACAUUAGUUAGUAUGUCACUCAUCAAUGAAAUCAUAUAUGCUCCAGAUUUGGACAGAGGCUAAUCUGUGACCCCACGUGGACUAACAGCUGUACAUGUUAAUAGGGAUCUUUAGUACUCUUCCUUCAGGGAAGUCUUUUUUUUUUUUUUCCAGGGAAGUCUUAAUGUGAGACCUUAUCAAGGUAGAGGAGAAGGGUAAUAAGCGGUAGGAGUAGUGGGGGUGGGUUGUGGAAAGUGUUCAGGAACAGGGACAUCUCUUCUAGGAUCAUCCAGAUGAUACCGUAUAGGACAUUGAUUGUUUACUACUCUGACUAGAAUGGGAUUAAAUAAAAUUUU